Molecule: long non-coding RNA, 2807 nt
Organism: Bombus terrestris (buff-tailed bumblebee)
Lineage: Eukaryota; Metazoa; Arthropoda; Insecta; Hymenoptera; Apidae
Exons: 3
Source: RefSeq, a predicted model, not a curated record
GUGUCCGAUUAUGAAUAUACCUGCAACAUAAAUCAUUUCUCAUAAGUGGCUAUCAUUUAUCGAGUUCCCGCAGAAAUUUCAUGCGAGGUCGAACCAAUCUCCGCUGCAUUUAAAACUGCUUGCUUUUUUGUAGAUAAAAAGCAUUUCAUAAUUCUCCUGCUCCUUUCUUUCUUUUUUUCUUUGUCGCAGUGUUUGCAACUGUCUGGGGCUCCGCCCUUCAUUUUCGUUCACUGCGAGAAUCGUUUGCUUGUCUGUUAUUCGCAUACACGAACCUCUUGGCAGUCUAACUCGUAAAACGAGCCCAUUUCUUCGAAUUUGUUAAUUUCAUAGUCCAGGAACAUAUUGUUCAAUUUCUGAGGAAAUUAUUGUUACAUAACAACACAUCUGCAUGAGUUUAUUUGUCGAAGGAAGAUGGUAUACAUAGUCAUAAAUUCUUGAUUCUCGCAUCUUCUUAAGUAUAUGUGAACGUCUAUUCUAUAUCGGUUGAAGCAAACAAAUAAAAUCCACGUGCUAUUACUCUUGUAAGUAGCAGUGUAUGUUUCUUUCAAGAGAUGCUAAACUUAUAUUUCAUAGGAAACGUAAUAAAACUAUAUCUGUGUCAGACCUGUACCACGCGAGACCAUCUAUGGCUCGCCAAUCAGUAGAAUAAUCUUUCUUAGACAAAUAUUCUCUGUUAGAAUAAGAUAGACGGCCAAGAGAAGGCCAAAGAAUAGCAAGUGUCGCUCAGCUCUAUAUAAUAUAAUACACCAAUAUAACUUUACCAAUAUAACUCUAGGAAACUGCUUAUCUUCCUUUGGACACAAAACGCGCGAAUCUACCGCCAGCAUGACCUAAAUCUACCGUCAAACCUAACUCCAGCCUAUAUUUUAUGGAAAUUCAGACCAAAAUAUAUUUUAGUUUCUCACUGGAAAAUUUCUUCGCGAUCUCGCCGUUACUUUUAUUCGUAUCCAAUCUACUCCAAUAUACUAAAACGUCGAUCCCCUUUACACUUUAGACCGUUCUACGAAAACGCCGAUGUUUCCAUCUAUAGGAGUAGAAUGUAUCUGUAAAUCAACUGCAAACCCAGCCGAACCCAAACCUAAUUGAAACCAAGGUUUCUCGAUCCACAAACCACUUCUACAACGUCUAAUUCACGCGGAAUGCAAUAUCGCCGAGCAAAUUGAUAAACUCCGUGUAUUCCCGUGAUCCGCGCUAGCUGUCGUGUGUUCAUAGGGGAAUUAACAGUUCCAUUGGCGACUUCGAUCGACUGCUGGCAGUACGUUACGUAACGCGUUUCGUGCGCCAGGGAACAACGAUCGGCUACGAUUAGAUUAAUUGGACGCAUUAGACUAGUUUAAACUGUAUAUUUCUCGGCACGCGGGAAGUGUAAUGCUGAUCGUAAACUGCUGUACGCGUGCAUGCGAGUACGCUUAUGGAUUUCCGAAGUAAUUGAGGGCCGUGCGGCAAUAAGGAAACUCUGUAUGUUUGAACUGUAUUUAUUGGAGGAGAAAGGAGGAUAUGACUUUCGCGUUCAAAAGCUGAGGAGAAUUAUUAUGAAAAUUAAUCGAAUAUCCAGCUGCCUUCUGUACAGAAUACUUGUUGGCUUCGUACGGAACGUGACAAUCAAUUCGAAGUAUCAGGGAAACGGAGGAUCGAUCGAUCGGAAUUUUAUAUUCACGCGAACAGCACAAGUUCGUACAUAGACGUUCCAGCUCUUGGACGUGUAAUUGAUUAGUCUGGAAGAUACGCUCCAUUAACAAAUUAGAAAUUAAAAGUUAUUCAACGGCUCAAUAUCUUUUGAUUAUCCAACGAUUCGAUUAAUUAUUCAUGCACAACGUAGUUCCACUGUCCUGCGCAAUGUUCCAGAUUGAUAUUUAAACGUUGAAGCCCAGGUGACUGAAAUAACUUUGCCGUCUCUUUAACUGGCGAUCAGUUGCGUAAAAGCUGUACGUCCACCGGCCAGGAAUGGCAUGCGUGGAAUUCCACGCGAAACGGUCAAUGAUAUUUCCAAUUCGUUGCUGCCUCGUGCACGAGAGAGUUGAAAUUUCCUGCUGGAUAUAACGUACAUACGUGCGGUUUCUCUGUGUGUGUUUACAUGCGAAAAAGAGCAUUUAGAGAGAAAGAAAGCGAGAGAGAGAAAGAGAGAGAAAGAGGAGUAGAGCGGAAUUGGAAGACUUGAAUUUGAAGAAUGUUGUUUGAGUUUGGUGUUGUGGGUGGCGGAGAUUGGAGGAAGAUGGUUCGGUCGAUUUAUUGGGCGAUUAAGCAAUGAGCUGAGUUAUGCAACGCGGUGAGAUAUGUGGCCUUUGUACGUGUUAUGCAGAUUCCUUUCCGUGUCUUUCCGAUGCUCGAAAUUUUUAGGUUUCGUCGUGUUGUCUGUAGACAAUGUUUCAUUAGACAACAUUUGAUUUACCUAUUGAAUAAUAAAUAACAAAUUGAAAUAAUAUCCUAGUUGUGAGUAACAAUUAAAUUUCUUAUUUAAAUGAGGGUAGCUUAAACGGUACCAGAAAUAAUUUAUUUAUUUGUAUUUAUUUCUUAUGUGCAAAUGGAAUUUCAUAUUCCAUUUGGAUUUAAUUGGAGAGAGAAUGAUAAUAUAUAAGUAAAUUGAUUUUUGGUUUUGCUUUAAACGUUUCGUGUUAUGCAAUGAAAAAGUCGAGAAGGUAACACGGUUAUUUUUCAAUAAAUAGUUGGAAAUUCGUAUUUGAUAUUAAAACUACUCGCUUUUCGUUGUGAGAAAGUUAUAUUUGAUUUGGAGGGCGUUCGCCGUAGCUAAUGAACAUUGUUAAAAAUAUAUUUAUGCAAAAAUAAGUCCGUUGGACGAUCGAUAACUA